ACACUCCUACGGGAGGCAGCAGUGGGGAAUUUUGGACAAUGGGCGAAAGCCUGAUCCAGCAAUGCCGCGUGUGUGAAGAAGGCCUUCGGGUUGUAAAGCACUUUUGUCCGGAAAGAAAUCCUUGGCUCUAAUACAGUCGGGGGAUGACGGUACCGGAAGAAUAAGCACCGGCUAACUACGUGCCAGCAGCCGCGGUAAUACGUAGGGUGCGAGCGUUAAUCGGAAUUACUGGGCGUAAAGCGUGCGCAGGCGGUUUGCUAAGACCGAUGUGAAAUCCCCGGGCUCAACCUGGGAACUGCAUUGGUGACUGGCAGGCUAGAGUAUGGCAGAGGGGGGUAGAAUUCCACGUGUAGCAGUGAAAUGCGUAGAGAUGGGGAGGAAUACCGAUGGCGAAGGCAGCCCCCUGGGCCAAUACUGACGCUCAUGCACGAAAGCGUGGGGAGCAAACAGGAUUAGAAACCCCGGUAGUCCCAUGAU
RNAcentral lists this ribosomal RNA (477 nucleotides) under uncultured organism. RNAcentral's name for it is "partial 16S ribosomal RNA". It matches the Rfam family "Bacterial small subunit ribosomal RNA", at positions 333 to 801 of the family's 1533-position model. The record is from RNAcentral.